GGCAGAGAGGCUUAAUGGAAAGAGCCCAGGUUUGGGAAUCAAAAGGUCAUGGGUUCUAAUCCCGGCUCUGCCA
Molecule: transfer RNA, 73 nt
Filed under: Ornithorhynchus anatinus (platypus)
Lineage: Eukaryota; Metazoa; Chordata; Mammalia; Monotremata; Ornithorhynchidae
Rfam family: tRNA
About the family: Transfer RNA (tRNA) molecules are approximately 80 nucleotides in length. Their secondary structure includes four short double-helical elements and three loops (D, anti-codon, and T loops).
Source: Rfam by way of RNAcentral